AGUUUCUAUUGGCCUGACUUCUCUUAUCCUUUAAUACUGGGAGAAAUUUUUGAGUAAAUAGAAACUGACCUGGAUUGCUCCAGUCUGAGCUCAGAUCUUAUAGGAUUUUAAUCGUUGAACAAACAAACUUUUAGUACUGGCUGCACACUGGGGAGUCCUGACCCAACACUGAGGUUGUAAACCCUAUUGUUGAUAUGAACUCUGAAAUAGGAUUGCACUGUUAUCACUAGGGUAACUUGAUUUGUUGAUCAAAGAUUAUCUGGGACAAUAUGCAAUUGAAACUUUGACUUGUUGAGUCUAGGUUAAAAUCAGUUGGAGGUUGAAUUAUUCUCCCAGGUCACCCCAACCAAAGUUAUUAAUUCA
This is a long non-coding RNA of Octodon degus (degu), 363 nucleotides long. RefSeq lists it as uncharacterized. Lineage: Eukaryota; Metazoa; Chordata; Mammalia; Rodentia; Octodontidae. The transcript is spliced from 3 exons. The record is from RefSeq and is a predicted model, not a curated record.